UAAGAUCUUUGCCACUUCAAUAGGAAC
Molecule: non-coding RNA, 27 nt
Filed under: Bombyx mori (domestic silkworm)
Lineage: Eukaryota; Metazoa; Arthropoda; Insecta; Lepidoptera; Bombycidae
Source: RNAcentral